UACAGUUGGAAGCCUACCACGUAUUGGAUUACCCGACACUUGCACAUUGCUGCAGAGACACCGCAGGCGUUAGGUUCACAGUUCACCAGAGCAAAACCGCAGCACCAGAAAAAGCGCAAGCAAGAACCAGCAUGUUUGGCAGCACAUCAACGUCCAAGGAACGCAAUGGAGAGAAGCCCGUUUCCGCUUCCGGGUAUGUGGACUAUGCGGAACCUUACGAGAGCAGCGAUCAACCCAAGCAGCAGUCGAGCUCAGAGUUUGUACCACGCUCCACGGUGGAGCAAGUGAAUCCGCCAGCUACACAACAACGAGCUCAAGCGAAUGCUAACUACGCUCAGCCUAAUCCCAGUUACAACACAGACCCAGAGCGACGUGUUCCGCAGCCUGUAACUUACACAGAACCUGAUCGCAUUGCUGUCCAGCGGGCACAGCCUAAUCCCAGCUACGUUCAGCCCAAUCCCGUUCAUGUCGACGCGGAACGCAGUGUGCCACAGCGAGCACAACAACCCGGUGCCGACUUCACUCGACUGCGCAGCAAUGUGCUGCCCGUGGAGCAGGCGCAACACAAUCCGAAAGAACGCACGCUUAGCACCAACUACAACACAAAUUCCACAGCCAAUUCAAGUGCCGACUAUGUGCUUAAAGAACGCUCCAAUGCGAAUUUUGUUUUGCCCUCGCAGAUGCGACCAGCGCUUGGUCCGCCCCAGCCGCGACCUCCCUUCGCCGGCGCCCGUCCCAUGGUCGGUGUGGGUCCACGCCCGCCCAUGCCCCCGAAUAUGGUGGGCAGACCGAUGCCACCGCCGCUGCGGCCCACAGACAGCAAGAGCAAUCUGCUGAUGGGUCCGCCACCGCCCAUGAGACCGGGCAUGCCGCCGCCGCAGCUCAGUCAGCAGAGCAUGCAGCAAGCGCGUUUGCCCAAUGCCGGUGGAGGAGGACCUUUAAGUCCACCGGGACAGGGACCGCCCAGGCCACAAGGCCAAGGCUUCCCAUGGUCAGCUGGACCGCCACCGCCUGGCGCAAGACCACCACAGAACAUGCAACGACCGCCGCCGCCAACAUUUGCACGUCCCAUGCCCGGGCAGCCGUUGCAGGCGCCCUUCCGACCCCAGCUCUACAAUCCACAGGGGCCACAGGGGCAACCCCAACAGCAGCAGCAGCAGCAGCCGCCGCAUCAACAGCUGCCACAACAGCUGCGACCACCGUCGUCGGCGGGCAUGCACAACGAUAAUGAUGAUGAUGAUGUCAUCAUGGGUCAGGCGGUGACGCCGCUGAAGACGUUCAACAUGCGCAGCGAUCCGAUGGGUUCGCCGCUGCUGGAGGAAACGGAGCCACCAUUUGACACCAGCACACCGUCGCCCACAGAUGCGUUGCUUAAGAAAGGUGACAAUGACAGCGGCGUGGAUGAGUCCACUCAAGAGAAGGAUCGCAACGGACCGAAUUCACCGAGUUCACCGGUUAAGACGCCCACAUCGAGCUCCUCGAAGCCAGACAAGUCGGGCAUCUCCAGGCCACCGAGUGCCACACCAUCGAAUAAAUCAGCAUCCAAGUCGCGCAGCACCUCCAAGAAUCGUCUGCUGCUCAAGACACCCGAACCCGAGCCGGCCAAGAAAGUUCCAAUGAACAAGGUACAGGUUGGCCAUGCGCCGUCGCCCAAUCUGAAGGCGGUACGUUCGAAAAUCGGUUCGCUGGAUAAUGCCACCUACAAACCAGGCGGCGGUAAUGUCAAAAUCGAGUCGAAGAAGAUCGACAUUAAGGCUGCACCACGCAUCGAGGCCAAGAACGACAAAUAUAUGCCCAAAGGUGGCGAGAAGAAGAUAGUUACAACAAAGUUGCAGUGGAAUGCCAAGUCGAAAAUUGGCUCAUUGGACAAUGCGGCACAUAAGCCUGGCGGCGGCGACAAGAAGAUCGAGACACUGAAAAUGAACUUCAAUGACAAGGCCAAGUCAAAGGUUGGCUCCAAGGACAAUGUGAAGCAUCAGCCCGGCGGUGGCGACAUCAAGGAUAACGACGCAAAGGAUAUACAAUCGCAAAAAAUAGAAAUUAAGGCACAAAGCAAAGUUGGCUCUUUGGAUAAUGUAAAGCACAAGCCCGGUGGCGGUGAAAAGAAGAUUUUCGAUGAUAAGGAUUAUUUGAAAAAUGUUGAACACUCUGUUGCACUGACAACACCACCAACACAGGAAUAUAUAUACACAUUUUAUUAGUCAUAGUCAUACUACGAAAAGAUAUACAUAUAUUUAACUAAAGUGCAUUAAAUUCGAAAUCCGUUUACUCGUACAUACUAUAUAUACGACAUACUACAACAAAUAUUACGUCCAUUAUUGCCUACUCUACGUUUUUAUAUUAUGAAAAGAUGCACUACUUUCGAUAAAGUCCUAGUCCACAACCAUCCAUGACGGCUUCAACAAGCGGCGCUGAUGAAAAUUUGAAUCAACAAAGUUAAAUCAAAAACAAAAAACAAAAAAAUGUCCAAAAUGCAUGUUGAGAAAAAUGAAAACUCACACAGAUACACACACUCACACUCAUACAACAAUUUAUACAGAUACAAUUGAUCAAAGCUUAUUUGAAAUGUAAUUUGUAAGCAAAAAAGUUACACAAAAUGAAAGGUAUGCAAUAACUCCCACAAACCACAAUAGAGUAUUUAAUCAAUUUGAUAAUUGAAUUGUGCAAGCACACACACAAAAACACAAUCACACACACACACAGUUAUACAAUCUGAUAUUGAAAAACAAAAAACAAAAAAAAUUAAAAAGUAUAUGACUAGUUGAUCAAUGCACUAUUUAUCAAAAAAAAAGGAUAACAAGGCAAAUGCAUAAACUAUAUAUAAUCUAUACAUAAAAUAUGCAAAAAAAUUCAUAUACUAUAUACAUAUAUAUAUAUAUAUUGAAAAGAAAAAAAGUAUCUAAAGAGUUAAGACAAUUAUACAAAAAAGACAUAUAGAUAAUUGCAUAAAAUAUCUGUGGCUUUACGUGUAGUUAAAUGUGUUGAACGAUUCAUAUUUUCACUCCUAACGCGUAAUGUUGAAAUAUUAAAUUUGAAUUUAAAUAUCAGAAUCACAAUCAGAAUCAAGAUACAAUUGAAGCUCUUCAGCAAUUUAGAUACUUUUGCAAAACAUAAACAAAGAAAAGAAAAAAACGAAAUCAAAAUCAAUAUAAACCGAACCGAAGCGAAGAUAGCAAGAACAAUUUACCACUGAUUAAGCAUACUAUUAUAUUUUAUAAUUUGUAAUAUGUAAUUUGUAAUUUGUACGAGUAUCCUCUUAAUACAUAGGAAAAAUGCAUCAUUCUCACAACUUAUUUACACCCCUGUUACAAAAUGUAAGAAUGCAAAUUGAAAUGCAAAUUAAAAACGUAAUAAAAAAACAACAUUUUUUCAUUUAUCAAAAA
Molecule: RNA transcript, 3383 nt
Organism: Drosophila sulfurigaster albostrigata
Lineage: Eukaryota; Metazoa; Arthropoda; Insecta; Diptera; Drosophilidae
Gene: tau
Gene name: microtubule-associated protein tau
Exons: 9
Source: RefSeq, a predicted model, not a curated record